AUUGACCUUUGGCGGCAGGCCUAACACAUGCAAGUCGAACGGUAACAGGAAACAGCUUGCUGUUUCGCUGACGAGUGGCGGACGGGUGAGUAAUGUCUGGGAAACUGCCUGAUGGAGGGGGAUAACUACUGGAAACGGUAGCUAAUACCGCAUAACGUCGCAAGACCAAAGAGGGGGACCCUCGGGCCUCUUGCCAUCGGAUGUGCCCAGAUGGGAUUAGCUUGUUGGUGGGGUAACGGCUCACCAAGGCGACGAUCCCUAGCUGGUCUGAGAGGAUGACCAGCCACACUGGAACUGAGACACGGUCCAGACUCCUACGGGAGGCAGCAGUGGGGAAUAUUGCACAAUGGGCGCAAGCCUGAUGCAGCCAUGCCGCGUGUAUGAAGAAGGCCUUCGGGUUGUAAAGUACUUUCAGCGGGGAGGAAGGGAGUAAAGUUAAUACCUUUGCUCAUUGACGUUACCCGCAGAAGAAGCACCGGCUAACUCCGUGCCAGCAGCCGCGGUAAUACGGAGGGUGCAAGCGUUAAUCGGAAUUACUGGGCGUAAAGCGCACGCAGGCGGUUUGUUAAGUCAGAUGUGAAAUCCCCGGGCUCAACCUGGGAACUGCAUCUGAUACUGGCAAGCUUGAGUCUCGUAGAGGGGGGUAGAAUUCCAGGUGUAGCGGUGAAAUGCGUAGAGAUCUGGAGGAAUACCGGUGGCGAAGGCGGCCCCCUGGACGAAGACUGACGCUCAGGUGCGAAAGCGUGGGGAGCAAACAGGAUUAGAUACCCUGGUAGUCCACGCCGUAAACGAUGUCGACUUGGAGGUUGUGCCCUUGAGGCGUGGCUUCCGGAGCUAACGCGUUAAGUCGACCGCCUGGGGAGUACGGCCGCAAGGUUAAAACUCAAAUGAAUUGACGGGGGCCCGCACAAGCGGUGGAGCAUGUGGUUUAAUUCGAUGCAACGCGAAGAACCUUACCUGGUCUUGACAUCCACGGAAGUUUUCAGAGAUGAGAAUGUGCCUUCGGGAACCGUGAGACAGGUGCUGCAUGGCUGUCGUCAGCUCGUGUUGUGAAAUGUUGGGUUAAGUCCCGCAACGAGCGCAACCCUUAUCCUUUGUUGCCAGCGGUCCGGCCGGGAACUCAAAGGAGACUGCCAGUGAUAAACUGGAGGAAGGUGGGGAUGACGUCAAGUCAUCAUGGCCCUUACGACCAGGGCUACACACGUGCUACAAUGGCGCAUACAAAGAGAAGCGACCUCGCGAGAGCAAGCGGACCUCAUAAAGUGCGUCGUAGUCCGGAUUGGAGUCUGCAACUCGACUCCAUGAAGUCGGAAUCGCUAGUAAUCGUGGAUCAGAAUGCCACGGUGAAUACGUUCCCGGGCCU
This 1363-nucleotide ribosomal RNA is filed under the name uncultured bacterium. RNAcentral describes it as "bacterial SSU rRNA". It matches the Rfam family "Bacterial small subunit ribosomal RNA", at positions 28 to 1381 of the family's 1533-position model. The record is from RNAcentral.